GCCGGAGUGGCGAAACUGGCAGACGCGCUGGAUUCAAAAUCCAGUGGAGGUAACUCCGUGUGGGUUCAAGUCCCUCCUCCGGCACCA
RNAcentral lists this transfer RNA (87 nucleotides) under Candidatus Hydrogenedentota bacterium. Its description in RNAcentral is "Candidatus Hydrogenedentes bacterium tRNA-Leu". It matches the Rfam family "tRNA". Rfam says of the family: Transfer RNA (tRNA) molecules are approximately 80 nucleotides in length. Lineage: Bacteria; Pseudomonadati; Candidatus Hydrogenedentota. The record is from RNAcentral.